This 260-nucleotide ribosomal RNA is filed under the name uncultured Staphylococcus sp. RNAcentral's name for it is "partial 16S ribosomal RNA". It matches the Rfam family "Bacterial small subunit ribosomal RNA", at positions 100 to 355 of the family's 1533-position model. Lineage: Bacteria; Bacillati; Bacillota; Bacilli; Caryophanales; Staphylococcaceae. The record is from RNAcentral.
CGGGGUGAGUAACACGUGGAUAACCUACCUAUAAGACUGGGAUAACUUCGGGAAACCGGAGCUAAUACCGGAUAAUAUUUUGAACCGCAUGGUUCAAAAGUGAAAGACGGUCUUGCUGUCACUUAUAGAUGGAUCCGCGCUGCAUUAGCUAGUUGGUAAGGUAACGGCUUACCAAGGCAACGAUGCAUAGCCGACCUGAGAGGGUGAUCGGCCACACUGGAACUGAGACACGGUCCAGACUCCUACGGGAGGCAGCAGUC